CCCUUAGAGUUUGAUCCUGGCUCAGAUUGAACGCUGGCGGCAUGCCUUACACAUGCAAGUCGAACGGUAACAGGUCUUCGGAUGCUGACGAGUGGCGAACGGGUGAGUAAUACAUCGGAACGUGCCCGAGAGUGGGGGAUAACGAAGCGAAAGCUUUGCUAAUACCGCAUACGAUCUCAGGAUGAAAGCAGGGGACCGCAAGGCCUUGCGCUCACGGAGCGGCCGAUGGCAGAUUAGGUAGUUGGUGGGAUAAAAGCUUACCAAGCCGACGAUCUGUAGCUGGUCUGAGAGGACGACCAGCCACACUGGGACUGAGACACGGCCCAGACUCCUACGGGAGGCAGCAGUGGGGAAUUUUGGACAAUGGGCGCAAGCCUGAUCCAGCCAUGCCGCGUGCAGGAUGAAGGCCUUCGGGUUGUAAACUGCUUUUGUACGGAACGAAAAGACUCUGGUUAAUACCUGGGGUCCAUGACGGUACCGUAAGAAUAAGCACCGGCUAACUACGUGCCAGCAGCCGCGGUAAUACGUAGGGUGCGAGCGUUAAUCGGAAUUACUGGGCGUAAAGCGUGCGCAGGCGGUUAUGUAAGACAGAUGUGAAAUCCCCGGGCUCAACCUGGGAACUGCAUUUGUGACUGCAUAGCUAGAGUACGGCAGAGGGGGAUGGAAUUCCGCGUGUAGCAGUGAAAUGCGUAGAUAUGCGGAGGAACACCGAUGGCGAAGGCAAUCCCCUGGGCCUGUACUGACGCUCAUGCACGAAAGCGUGGGGAGCAAACAGAUUAGAUACCCUGGUAGUCCACGCCCUAACGAUGUCAACUGGUUGUUGGGUCUUCACUGACUCAGUACGAAGCUAACGCGUGA
RNAcentral lists this ribosomal RNA (858 nucleotides) under uncultured bacterium. RNAcentral describes it as "bacterial SSU rRNA". It matches the Rfam family "Bacterial small subunit ribosomal RNA", at positions 1 to 862 of the family's 1533-position model. The record is from RNAcentral.